CCAAUAGCGUAUAUUAAAGUUGUUGCAGUUAAAAAGCUCGUAGUUGAAUUUCGGGGUUCUUCCGUUGGUCAGGCUAACAAGUCUGUACUAGCGUGUAGAAUCUCUACCUUCUGGGGAACCAUCAUGUUAUUAAUUUAGCGUGGUGGGAAACCAGGACCUUUACCUUGAAAAAAUGAGAGUGUUCAAAGCAGGCUUACGUCUGAAUACAUUAGCAUGGAAUAAUAAAAUAGGACGGUGGUCCUGUUUUGUUGGUUUCUGAAUCACCGUAAUGAUUAAUAGGGAUAGUUGGGGGCAUUAGUAUUCAAUUGUCAGAGGUGAAAUUCUUGGAUUUAUUGAAGACUAACUUCUGCGAAAGCAUUUGCCAAGAAUGUUUUCAUUAAUCAAGAACGAAAGUUAGAGGUUCGAAGGCGAUCAGAUACCGCCCUAGUUCUAACCAUAAACGAUGCCGACCGGCGAUCCGCUGUCGUUACUUGAAUGACUCAGCGGGCAGCCUCCG
RNAcentral lists this unclassified non-coding RNA (496 nucleotides) under uncultured Scutellospora. RNAcentral's name for it is "bacterial SSU rRNA". It matches the Rfam family "Eukaryotic small subunit ribosomal RNA", at positions 591 to 1092 of the family's 1831-position model. The record is from RNAcentral. Lineage: Eukaryota; Fungi; Glomeromycota; Glomeromycetes; Diversisporales; Gigasporaceae.